Non-coding RNA from Callorhinus ursinus (northern fur seal), 1382 nucleotides. The record is from RefSeq and is a predicted model, not a curated record. NCBI's taxonomy places the organism in Eukaryota, Metazoa, Chordata, Mammalia, Carnivora, Otariidae.
GACCCACUGAAGGAUGGCCAAAGGUGGAGUUCAGGGAUCCAGGCUUCUGACCUUUCAUUGAUACCAGCAGUCCUUACCAUCUCCUUCUGAGUCUUAUACUUCUCUCUCAUUUUGCUAAUGUUUCAACAGAUCAACCUAAAAAAGGUUUUACUCCAGACAUCAAGCCUUAAGGGUCCAAGUGAGCUUCACUUCGAUUCAUCAUGCGAGUGCCCACUGUCAGUCCUGGACAGGGGGUCACAAAUUAGGAAAGCAGCAAGUCAAAUGAGUUGGCUGAAAAACAAUGGGAGUGGGGAAUGGGCUGUAGUGAUUUAAAUGAGGAAUGCGAGGGUCCUGUUCUAGAGUCCCUCCCACUCCCUAGGGUCUCUUCCCCCAUCAGUCCCUUAAUAUAAUUCUUUUCUUGAAGGCUAAGAUCCUCAGGCAGUUACUCUUCUUCCGUGAUGUACAACCUCUGGGGAGUGUCGUACGUGGAUUCCCUCCAGGACCACACUGCAGCCAGAACUCUGCAGACCCACAGAUCCAACUGUCUCCUGCACAUCACCAUGUAGUACUCCCAGAGGCAAAAUCGCCACCUACCCAGGUUUCCCACUCAUCUCCACUAUCCAUGAGGCUACCAGAGCCUGACAGUUCCCCUGUGCACGCCUGUGUCCUCUCCUGAUGGCCACAUCAACUUCCUCUGGGCUCUUCUCCUACCAGUUGGCCUCCUUCCACUCUGUCCUCUCUACUGCAUCCGAAGCCGUGCUCACCAUACUUCUACUUAAAAUCCAUCCACUCUCCAGAGCUCUUAGGGUCCAGUUCAAGUCCAGUUUACACACAAUGCCCUUAUGAUCUGGCUCUCGCCCUCGCUGGUUUUAUCGCCUGCUCCUCCUUCACACGAAUGCUUCCCUCAACCUACUCAGAGGCUUUAUGGUGUUCAAUAUGCAUGCUGUGUCAUGCCUCAUGGCCUUGCCAUAUGCUGAGACUUUUCUCUGGAAUGUCUUCUCAUAAUACCAUUCUUAAUUCUUGUGAACCUUGCCCCACCUAGUCCUUCCUUAGUGACACGUAAUUCCAGCACUUAUCACACUGUAUCCCAUUCAUUGUGUACUUACUGCCUACUAGACCCCAAGCCAUUUGAGGGUAGAGACCAUUUCUAAGUGCACUUUCCACCCAUGGCACCUCCCAGAGCACUGCAUGUAGUAGACACAAAAUAAAUGCAUAUUCCAACAAAUGUACGGGUAGCCAGAACAUAGCAGAAUGGAGGAUUACAGAAUUAGGAGGUUAGGCUUCUAUUACAGCAUAAAUUUACAAACCAUGGUCAUGUCCCCAUACCUCCCCCAGGUAUUCUGAGGGUCCACCAACACCAACUUCAGUCAACACAUGACUUUUUAAUAAAGUUGAAGACCAUU